ACUCCUACGGGAGGCAGCAGUCGAGAAUCAUUCGCAAUGCGCGAAAGCGUGACGAUGCGACGCCGCGUGGAGGAUGAAGGCCUUCGGGUUGUAAACUCCUGUCAUGAGGGAAAAUGACCGGCUGGUGAAUAGCCAGUUGGUGUGAUGGUACCUCAGGAGGAAGCCACGGCUAACUCUGUGCCAGCAGCCGCGGUAAUACAGAGGUGGCAAGCGUUGUUCGGAUUUACUGGGCGUAAAGGGUGCGUAGGCGGUUCUGUGUGUCGGGCGUGAAAUCUCACCGUUCAACGGUGAAACUGCACUCGAAACUGCAGAACUGGAGUACAGGAGGGGUGAGCGGAAUUCUCGGUGUAGCGGUGAAAUGCGUAGAUAUCGAGAAGAACGCCGGGUGGCGAAGGCGGCUCACUGGACUGAUACUGACGCUGAGGCACGAAAGCUGGGGAGGCGAGA
Molecule: ribosomal RNA, 447 nt
Filed under: uncultured bacterium
Lineage: Bacteria
Description: bacterial SSU rRNA
Rfam family: Bacterial small subunit ribosomal RNA
Source: RNAcentral